AGCGAGAGAACGUUGCCGCAGGCAACGGCCCGAAGGGCGAGGAGCGAUAGCGACGAGUUAUCCUUCCCCCACCACCA
RNAcentral lists this small RNA (77 nucleotides) under Klebsiella pneumoniae. RNAcentral describes it as "partial RtT sRNA". It matches the Rfam family "RtT RNA", at positions 56 to 130 of the family's 130-position model. From Rfam's summary of the family: This family represents a bacterial cis-regulatory element known as RtT RNA. The exact function of RtT is unknown although it is thought that it may be involved in changing the cellular response in relation to amino acid starvation. The record is from RNAcentral. Lineage: Bacteria; Pseudomonadati; Pseudomonadota; Gammaproteobacteria; Enterobacterales; Enterobacteriaceae. RNAcentral also lists the same sequence under 1 other name.